Molecule: ribosomal RNA, 2773 nt
Filed under: Escherichia coli
Lineage: Bacteria; Pseudomonadati; Pseudomonadota; Gammaproteobacteria; Enterobacterales; Enterobacteriaceae
Description: bacterial LSU rRNA
Rfam family: Bacterial large subunit ribosomal RNA
Source: RNAcentral
AGCGUACACGGUGGAUGCCCUGGCAGUCAGAGGCGAUGAAGGACGUGCUAAUCUGCGAUAAGCGUCGGUAAGGUGAUAUGAACCGUUAUAACCGGCGAUUUCCGAAUGGGGAAACCCAGUGUGAUUCGUCACACUAUCAUUAACUGAAUCCAUAGGUUAAUGAGGCGAACCGGGGGAACUGAAACAUCUAAGUACCCCGAGGAAAAGAAAUCAACCGAGAUUCCCCCAGUAGCGGCGAGCGAACGGGGAGCAGCCCAGAGUCUGAAUCAGUGUGUGUGUUAGUGGAAGCGUCUGGAAAGGCGCGCGAUACAGGGUGACAGCCCCGUACACAAAAAUGCACAUACUGUGAGCUCGAUGAGUAGGGCGGGACACGUGGUAUCCUGUCUGAAUAUGGGGGGACCAUCCUCCAAGGCUAAAUACUCCUGACUGACCGAUAGUGAACCAGUACCGUGAGGGAAAGGCGAAAAGAACCCCGGCGAGGGGAGUGAAAAAGAACCUGAAACCGUGUACGUACAAGCAGUGGGAGCCUCUUUUAUGGGGUGACUGCGUACCUUUUGUAUAAUGGGUCAGCGACUUAUAUUCUGUAGCAAGGUUAACCGAAUAGGGGAGCCGAAGGGAAACCGAGUCUUAACUGGGCGUUAAGUUGCAGGGUAUAGACCCGAAACCCGGUGAUCUAGCCAUGGGCAGGUUGAAGGUUGGGUAACACUAACUGGAGGACCGAACCGACUAAUGUUGAAAAAUUAGCGGAUGACUUGUGGCUGGGGGUGAAAGGCCAAUCAAACCGGGAGAUAGCUGGUUCUCCCCGAAAGCUAUUUAGGUAGCGCCUCGUGAAUUCAUCUCCGGGGGUAGAGCACUGUUUCGGCAAGGGGGUCAUCCCGACUUACCAACCCGAUGCAAACUGCGAAUACCGGAGAAUGUUAUCACGGGAGACACACGGCGGGUGCUAACGUCCGUCGUGAAGAGGGAAACAACCCAGACCGCCAGCUAAGGUCCCAAAGUCAUGGUUAAGUGGGAAACGAUGUGGGAAGGCCCAGACAGCCAGGAUGUUGGCUUAGAAGCAGCCAUCAUUUAAAGAAAGCGUAAUAGCUCACUGGUCGAGUCGGCCUGCGCGGAAGAUGUAACGGGGCUAAACCAUGCACCGAAGCUGCGGCAGCGACGCUUAUGCGUUGUUGGGUAGGGGAGCGUUCUGUAAGCCUGUGAAGGUGUGCUGUGAGGCAUGCUGGAGGUAUCAGAAGUGCGAAUGCUGACAUAAGUAACGAUAAAGCGGGUGAAAAGCCCGCUCGCCGGAAGACCAAGGGUUCCUGUCCAACGUUAAUCGGGGCAGGGUGAGUCGACCCCUAAGGCGAGGCCGAAAGGCGUAGUCGAUGGGAAACAGGUUAAUAUUCCUGUACUUGGUGUUACUGCGAAGGGGGGACGGAGAAGGCUAUGUUGGCCGGGCGACGGUUGUCCCGGUUUAAGCGUGUAGGCUGGUUUUCCAGGCAAAUCCGGAAAAUCAAGGCUGAGGCGUGAUGACGAGGCACUACGGUGCUGAAGCAACAAAUGCCCUGCUUCCAGGAAAAGCCUCUAAGCAUCAGGUAACAUCAAAUCGUACCCCAAACCGACACAGGUGGUCAGGUAGAGAAUACCAAGGCGCUUGAGAGAACUCGGGUGAAGGAACUAGGCAAAAUGGUGCCGUAACUUCGGGAGAAGGCACGCUGAUAUGUAGGUGAAGUCCCUCGCGGAUGGAGCUGAAAUCAGUCGAAGAUACCAGCUGGCUGCAACUGUUUAUUAAAAACACAGCACUGUGCAAACACGAAAGUGGACGUAUACGGUGUGACGCCUGCCCGGUGCCGGAAGGUUAAUUGAUGGGGUCAGCGCAAGCGAAGCUCUUGAUCGAAGCCCCGGUAAACGGCGGCCGUAACUAUAACGGUCCUAAGGUAGCGAAAUUCCUUGUCGGGUAAGUUCCGACCUGCACGAAUGGCGUAAUGAUGGCCAGGCUGUCUCCACCCGAGACUCAGUGAAAUUGAACUCGCUGUGAAGAUGCAGUGUACCCGCGGCAAGACGGAAAGACCCCGUGAACCUUUACUAUAGCUUGACACUGAACAUUGAGCCUUGAUGUGUAGGAUAGGUGGGAGGCUUUGAAGUGUGGACGCCAGUCUGCAUGGAGCCGACCUUGAAAUACCACCCUUUAAUGUUUGAUGUUCUAACGUUGACCCGUAAUCCGGGUUGCGGACAGUGUCUGGUGGGUAGUUUGACUGGGGCGGUCUCCUCCUAAAGAGUAACGGAGGAGCACGAAGGUUGGCUAAUCCUGGUCGGACAUCAGGAGGUUAGUGCAAUGGCAUAAGCCAGCUUGACUGCGAGCGUGACGGCGCGAGCAGGUGCGAAAGCAGGUCAUAGUGAUCCGGUGGUUCUGAAUGGAAGGGCCAUCGCUCAACGGAUAAAAGGUACUCCGGGGAUAACAGGCUGAUACCGCCCAAGAGUUCAUAUCGACGGCGGUGUUUGGCACCUCGAUGUCGGCUCAUCACAUCCUGGGGCUGAAGUAGGUCCCAAGGGUAUGGCUGUUCGCCAUUUAAAGUGGUACGCGAGCUGGGUUUAGAACGUCGUGAGACAGUUCGGUCCCUAUCUGCCGUGGGCGCUGGAGAACUGAGGGGGGCUGCUCCUAGUACGAGAGGACCGGAGUGGACGCAUCACUGGUGUUCGGGUUGUCAUGCCAAUGGCACUGCCCGGUAGCUAAAUGCGGAAGAGAUAAGUGCUGAAAGCAUCUAAGCACGAAACUUGCCCCGAGAUGAGUUCU